This 276-nucleotide microRNA precursor is filed under the name Oryza sativa Japonica Group (Japanese rice). RNAcentral's name for it is "MIR821 microRNA precursor family". It matches the Rfam family "MIR821 microRNA precursor family". The record is from Rfam by way of RNAcentral. Lineage: Eukaryota; Viridiplantae; Streptophyta; Magnoliopsida; Poales; Poaceae.
GAUUUCAAUUGAAAAAGUCAUCAACAACAAAGUUGAAUAACUCAUCAAGAUCUAAAACUUUUAUUUUUGUUAUUUCUUCAUCCGACGAAAUGUUAGUAAUAUUAUUCACAAAUUUUACAUAUAUGUGUUAUAGUUUUAUAAAACCAGAUAAGAGAUAUGUCAAUUUUGUGAACAAUGUUACUAUCACUUUGUCGUAUGAAGAAAUGACCAAAAUAAAAGUUUUAGAUCUUGAUGAGUUAUUCAACUUUGUUGUUGAUGACUUUUUCAGUUGAUAUA